UAGGUUAACGAGGCGAACCGGGGGAACUGAAACAUCUAAGUACCCCGAGGAAAAGAAAUCAACCGAGAUUCCCCCAGUAGCGGCGAGCGAACGGGGAGCAGCCCAGAGUCUGAAUCAGCUUGUGUGUUAGUGGAACGGUCUGGAAAGUCCGACGGUACAGGGUGAUAGUCCCGUACACCAAAAUGCACAGGCUGUGAACUCGAAGAGUAGGGCGGGACACGUGGUAUCCUGUCUGAAUAUGGGGGGACCAUCCUCCAAGGCUAAAUACUCCUGACUGACCGAUAGUGAACCAGUACCGUGAGGGAAAGGCGAAAAGAACCCCGGCGAGGGGAGUGAAAAAGAACCUGAAACCGUGUACGUACAAGCAGUGGGAGCACCUUCGGGUGUGACUGCGUACCUUUUGUAUAAUGGGUCAGCGACUUAUAUUCUGUAGCAAGGUUAACCGUAUAGGGGAGCCGCAGGGAAACCGAGUCUUAACUGGGCGUUAAGUUGCAGGGUAUAGACCCGAAACCCGGUGAUCUAGCCAUGGGCAGGUUGAAGGUUGGGUAACACUAACUGGAGGACCGAACCGACUAAUGUUGAAAAAUUAGCGGAUGACUUGUGGCUGGGGGUGAAAGGCCAAUCAAACCGGGAGAUAGCUGGUUCUCCCCGAAAGCUAUUUAGGUAGCGCCUCGUGAAUUCAUCUUCGGGGGUAGAGCACUGUUUCGGCUAGGGGGUCAUCCCGACUUACCAACCCGAUGCAAACUACGAAUACCGAAGAAUGUUAUCACGGGAGACACACGGCGGGUGCUAACGUCCGUCGUGAAGAGGGAAACAACCCAGACCGCCAGCUAAGGUCCCAAAGUCAUGGUUAAGUGGGAAACGAUGUGGGAAGGCACA
Molecule: ribosomal RNA, 879 nt
Filed under: Klebsiella pneumoniae
Lineage: Bacteria; Pseudomonadati; Pseudomonadota; Gammaproteobacteria; Enterobacterales; Enterobacteriaceae
Description: partial 23S ribosomal RNA
Rfam family: Bacterial large subunit ribosomal RNA
Source: RNAcentral